CAGUAGCCGCGGGAAUACGUAGGGUGCAAGCGUUAAUCGGAAUUACUGGGCGUAAAGCGUGCGCAGGCGGUUAUAUAAGACAGAUGUGAAAUCCCCGGGCUCAACCUGGGAACUGCAUUUGUGACUGUAUAGCUAGAGUACGGCAGAGGGGGAUGGAAUUACGCGUGUAGCAGUGAAAUGCGUAGAUAUGCGGAGGAACACCGAUGGCGAAGGCAAUCCCCUGGGCCUGUACUGACGCUCAUGCACGAAAGCGUGGGGAGCAAACAGGAUUAGAUACCCCCGUAGUCCCUGUCUCUUAUAC
Molecule: ribosomal RNA, 301 nt
Filed under: uncultured bacterium
Lineage: Bacteria
Description: partial 16S ribosomal RNA
Rfam family: Bacterial small subunit ribosomal RNA
Source: RNAcentral